Molecule: long non-coding RNA, 301 nt
Filed under: Vitis vinifera (wine grape)
Lineage: Eukaryota; Viridiplantae; Streptophyta; Magnoliopsida; Vitales; Vitaceae
Description: long non-coding RNA (VVIN_LNC002391)
Source: RNAcentral
UUCCCAUUAUAGUAUCAAAUCGAUACAUAUGUUGUUAUUGUUUUGUACUUUGAUUUCAUAUUUAUUCGCGUGCCCGUUAUCCAUUGGAUAACAACCCUAGAUUGAUGGAUAACAAACCUAGAUUGACUUGAUGCAGACGGUUCGGUUCAAUGGGUUUUUAGGCCAAAACAGGCCUUAAUAACCAAUGGGCUACACCCCCUUUCACAACCCAACCCAUCAUGGCCAACAACACAGUUUACGGCCCUAGACUUGAACCUUGGACCAAGGGUUCAAGGUUAGCAUGGUUGCACCAACUUGCUAC